CCAAGCGCCACGGCGAAUGUCUACGUUAGAAAACUCUCGCCAAAUAUAAAGAUCGAGCUCAAGGAGAGACCGAGGAGGGAUUUGACGACAGAUUUCUCGAGAGGAGAAGCUUCCAUUGCCAGAUCCCUCCCGCUUCCGCCCCCGUUGUUCCAUUCGAGCCGACCGUUUCCACCAACGCUUCCUCCUCCUCGGAGCGACCCACCCGCCGCGCUCGGCCGACAUGUGGGCCCCGGCGGCCUCGCCGGCGGGCAGGGCGCCCCGACCGCCGCCGCGGUUGCCGGCGGUGGUACGGGUCGUCGUCCCGCUGCCUGUCGCGGCGAGGGUGCGGGGGCUGCCGAUGCCGCCCAGUCGGCUCUGCCUAGCCGCGCCGCGUGCAUCGGAAAUGGCGGCCGCGGCCGAGGACGGGGAGGGGGAGGGGGAGAGGAGGUGGUGGAGGGGCGCGGAGGAGAUGGACGCGGCUGUGAGGCGCGAGCUGGCGAUCCGGAGGCUGCAGCAGGAAGCGGAGGAGGCGGGGACGGGGAGGAGCAGGCGGGAGUUCGCCGUGUUCGAGACGGCCAGGGGAGACACGCUCUUCACGCAGUCGUGGACUCCCGCCUCCGCCGACCCCGUCAGGGGUAUUGUUGUUCUGCUACAUGGUCUAAAUGAGCAUAGUGGAAGAUACGACCAUUUUGCAAAGUUGUUGAAUGAUCAAGGUCUUAAAGUUUAUGCGAUGGAUUGGAUAGGACAUGGCGGAAGUGAUGGCGCGCAUGGUUAUGUUUCAUCGCUUGAUCAUGCUGUUGGUGACUUGAAAGAAUUUUUAGAGGAUGUUGUGUUAGAAGAAAACUAUGGUUUGCCAUGCUUCUUAUUUGGCCACUCCACAGGUGGAGCUAUUGUUUUGAAGGCAGCACUAGAUCCUUGUGUGGAAGUUCAUAUAGAAGGUUUGAUCUUGACCUCGCCAGCUAUUCACGUUCAGCCAUCUCAUCCGAUUAUCAAAGUUGUUGCACCAAUCUUCUCGGUGUUGGCUCCGAAAUACCGGGUUAGUGCUUUGCAUAAGAGAGGGCCUCCUGUUUCCCGUGAUCCAGAGGCUCUGAAGAUCAAGUAUGCAGAUCCACUUGUGUAUACUGGACCGAUUAGAGUUAGAACAGGCAACGAAAUCCUCCGGAUAUCAUCAUACUUGCAGAGAAACUUAAGUAGAGUUACAGUCCCUUUUCUAGUUCUUCAUGGGACAGCUGACACGAUAACUGACCCAAGAGCAUCCCAACGACUUUACCAAGCAUCAAUGUCGACUCAUAAAUCAAUCAAGCUAUAUGACGGAUAUUUACACGACCUUCUCUUCGAGCCUGAAAGGGAUGAUAUAGCCAAUGACAUCAUCACUUGGUUGAGCUCAAGACUUAAUGCUCUCCACAGAUGGUAAGGUAGUGUUGUUCACAAAUUUUUACCUAAACUAUUAUCAGAAGAUAUCUGUAUGAGGUUUGAGUGACAGUUGAACAAGCAGACAUCUCCUUUGCUGAACUUUGAUUUCUCAAUAUUACUGAAGUUAUGGUGGGUUUCCUACCAUCAUCGUAAGAGAGAAGACACCUUGUAUCUAGCUCAGACCUGAUCAUGUUUUCGGAGCUGAACAACAUAAGUUAUUAUGGGAUUAUGCUACUCAAAUUAUGUACGCAAGCUGACCUGUAGAGUGUAGAUAACCUCUGAGUCGCGUGCUCGUGG
RNA transcript from Triticum aestivum (bread wheat), 1689 nucleotides. It is a transcript of the gene named monoacylglycerol lipase, with no coding region annotated. The transcript has 9 exons. The record is from RefSeq and is a predicted model, not a curated record. Lineage: Eukaryota; Viridiplantae; Streptophyta; Magnoliopsida; Poales; Poaceae.